GAUGAACGCUGGCGGCGUGCCUAAUACAUGCAAGUCGAGCGAACAGACGCGAAGUUUGCUCCUCACACGUUAGCGGCGCACGUGUGAGUAACACGUGGAUACCCUCCCUCUAUUCCUGGUAUACCUUCGGGAAUCCGGCUCUAAUCCCGUAUAAUAUAUUUAACCGUAUGGUUCAAUAGUGAAAUACGGUUUUGCUGUCACUUCUCGAUGUAUCCGCGCUUCAUUAGCUAGUUGGUAAGGUAACGGCUUACCAAGGCAACGAUGCGUAGCCGACCUGAGAGGGGGAGAGGACACAAGGGAACGGAGAGACGGUCCAGAAUCGUAAGGGAGGCAGGAGUAGGGAAGGUUGCGCAAUGGGCGAAAGCCUGACGGAGCAAGGAAGCGUGAGGGAGGAAGGUCUUCGGAGCGUAAAACGCUGUUAUGAGGGAAGAACAAAUGUGUAAGGAACAAGGCACGUCGUGACGGUACUUAAUCAGAAAGCAACGGCUAACUACGUG
RNAcentral lists this ribosomal RNA (497 nucleotides) under uncultured bacterium. RNAcentral's name for it is "partial 16S ribosomal RNA". It matches the Rfam family "Bacterial small subunit ribosomal RNA", at positions 28 to 507 of the family's 1533-position model. The record is from RNAcentral.